AGAAUCAACGCUGGCGGCGUGCCUAACACAUGCAAGUCGAGCGCGGUUACUGCUGCUUCGCAAGAAGUAGUGGUAACUGAGUGGCGAACGGGUGAGUAACACGUGGGUGACCUGCCUUCGAGUGGGGGAUAACAUCCCGAAAGGGGUGCUAAUACCGCAUGACAUCCUGCCUUUAAAGAGGUGGAGAUUAAAGCUGGGGAUCGUAAGACCUGGCGCUUGAAGAGGGGCCCGCGUCCGAUUAGCUAGUUGGUGGGGUAACGGCCUACCAAGGCGACGAUCGGUA
Molecule: ribosomal RNA, 283 nt
Filed under: uncultured bacterium
Lineage: Bacteria
Description: partial small subunit ribosomal RNA
Rfam family: Bacterial small subunit ribosomal RNA
Source: RNAcentral